Rhea pennata is the source of this 654-nucleotide long non-coding RNA. RefSeq lists it as uncharacterized. The record is from RefSeq and is a predicted model, not a curated record. The transcript is spliced from 3 exons. NCBI's taxonomy places the organism in Eukaryota, Metazoa, Chordata, Aves, Rheiformes, Rheidae.
CUCUUCCUGUGAGCACAUGUGCUUAACUCUGUUAGCAUGAAUGGUUUUACAGAAGGAAACAGGACCACCCAAGGGAAUAUAAUCUGUGCUGCGACACAGACCAUCCCGGACUGCAGAGAACCUAACACAAUAGCAAGAAAGCAAGGAUGUUAUUUAUAUAUUUUAUCACCAGCACUAUUGGGUCACUUGUCAUCUAUUUCCUGUCACAGAGGACACUAGCAGAAAUAACAGCAGCAGCUGGAAUUAAAAGUGUUUAUGAAAUGAACUGCAAGAAAAGGCAAUAUGAUCUUGGUGAAGAAUACAUCCAUUAAAUCAAGAAAUAUGGAAAGUGCUGUUUAUAUUUACUUCCCAAGGCUGUGUGAUAAAUUGAAACAUAAUAGUAAUCCCUGCCUUCCCCAACUCCCUUCUCAUGGGACUGUAACAUUUUUCAGAUGUGGAUACACAGAUCUACGUAUUGCUCUAGAUAUUUGUGAAAAAAAAAAAUCAGAGGGAUAUUCUAAUGAGAAGAAAACACAGAUCUAGGAUUUGACUGCCAAGCAAACAGACUGGGAGCUGAAGGACCGACAGGCUGAUUCUGAUUUCGCUAGCUCUAAUAGAAAGCAAAAAAGUAAUGCUAUCGUGCCCUUUGUGUAUGCUACCUGCGCCCCUUGCUAA